RNAcentral lists this ribosomal RNA (2303 nucleotides) under oral metagenome. Its description in RNAcentral is "bacterial LSU rRNA". It matches the Rfam family "Bacterial large subunit ribosomal RNA", at positions 1 to 2488 of the family's 2925-position model. The record is from RNAcentral.
GGAAGUGAGGCAGGGCGCACGGUGGAUGCCCUGGCUCCUGGAGGCGAUGAAGGGCGCGACAAGCGGCGCCCGAAUGGGGCAACCCGGCCAGCGGAAGGCUGGCCAUCCCCCCGCAGGGGGGAGGCGAACCCGGUGAACCGAAACAUCCCAGUAGCCGGAGGAGGAGAAGACAACAGUGAUUCCCCGAGUAGCGGCGAGCGAAAGGGGAGGAGCCCAAACCCCGCGGGUUGCGGCCCGCGGGGGGUAGUAGGGCCCACGGAAUCGCGCGGCCGGCGCGAGCCGAGUCGCCUGGAACGGCGUCCCGGAGAGGGUGAUAGGCCCGUAGGCGAAGCGGCCGGCCGCGCGAGGUGGCGUCCCUGAGUAGGGCGGGACCCGAGGAAUCCCGCCCGAACCCGCCGGGACCACCCGGCAAGGCUAAAUACUCCCAGGAGACCGAUAGCGAACCAGUACCGUGAGGGAAAGGUGAAAAGCACCCCGCGCAGGGGAGUGAAAUAGUACCUGAAACCGUGCGCCCACAAGCGGUCGGAGCCCCUCCGGGGGUGACGGCGUGCCUUUUGCAUAAUGAGCCUACGAGUCACGGUGGCCGGCGAGGUUAACCCGCGCAGCGGGGGAGCCGUAGCGAAGGCGAGUCCGAACAGGGCGAGAGUCGGCUGCCGUGGGCGCGAAACUUGGCGAUCUACCCAUGGCCAGGCUGAAGGCCCGGUGAAACGGGCUGGAGGGCCGAACGGGUAAGCGUUGAAAAGCUUUCCGAUGAGCUGUGGGUAGGGGUGAAAGGCCAAUCAAGCUGAGAGAUAGCUCGUACUCCCCGAAAUGCCUUUAGGGGCAGCCUCGGGGGAGCCGCCCGGAGGUAGAGCGACUGGCUGGACGCGAGGGCUUCGCCGCCUAUCAAGUCCUGCCAAACUCCGAAUGCCGGCGCGGCGCUCCCCGGGAGUGAGCCACGGGGUGCUAAUGUCCCGUGACGAGAGGGAAAGAACCCGGACCAGCGGCUAAGGCCCCGAAGCGCGCGCUAAGUUGACCAAACGCGGUGCGGCCGCAGAGACAGCUAGGAUGUUGGCUUGGAAGCAGCCAUUCAUUCAAAGAGUGCGUAACAGCUCACUAGUCGAGCGGCCGUGCAUGGAUAAUGAGCGGGCAUCAAGCGCGCCGCCGAGGCCCUGGAUUGCGCCGUUGGGCGCAGUGGUAGGGGAGCAUUCCCCGCCGCGCCGAAGCGGCCGCGCGAGCGGCCGUGGAGCGCGGGGAAAGGCAAAUGUAGGCAUGAGUAGCGAUAACGCCGGUGGGAAACCGGCGCACCGAUAGACCAAGGUUUCCUGAUCAACGCUAAUCGGAUCAGGGUGAGCCGGGGCCUAAGGCUAAGGCGAAGGCCGACGCCGAUGGGGAACGGGUUAAUAUUCCCGUGCUGGCCACGGUUGCGAUGGGGCGACGGAGGUGUGGCAGCCACGCCCGGUGACGGAAGUCCGGGCCGAAGGGGGGUAGGUAUAGGCCGGGGGUAACGCCCCGGGCUGCCGAGCCCCGAGAGCGCCGCGAGCCCCUGGGCGAGCGGUUAAGUGGCGUAAUCGAGCUCCCGAGAAAACCCCCUAAGCGUCAGACCGUGGGCACCCGUACCGGAAACCGACACAGGUGGUCAAGGAGAGGAUCCUGAGGUGCUCGAGUGAUUCACGGCCAAGGAACUAGGCAAACUGACCCUGUAACUUCGGGAGAAAGGGUCCCCGCCGCGAGGCGGGGCGCAGAGAAGUGGCCCAAGCGACUGUUUAGCAAAAACACAUGGCUCUGCCAAAUCGCGAGAUGACGUAUAGGGCCUGACACCUGCCCGGUGCCGGAAGGUUAAGAGGGGGCGUUAGGGGCGACCCGAGGCGCUGAAUUGAAGCCCCGGUAAACGGCGGCCGUAACUAUAACGGUCCUAAGGUAGCGAAAUUCCUUGUCGGGUAAGUUCCGACCUGCACGAACGCUGCUUUUGCGUUGGCGUUGUGUAGGAUAGGCCGGAGGCUUUGAAGGGGCAUCGCCAGAUGCCCUGGAGCCGCUGUUGAAAUACGGCCCUUCGCCCGCGCGGGAGCUAACCCCUGUCGGGGGGACACCGCGUGGCGGGUAGUUUGACUGGGGUGGUCGCCUCCAAAAGGGUAACGGAGGCUUCCCAAGGUGCCCUCAGCGCGGAUGGUAAUCGCGCGGCGCGUGCAAUGGCACAAGGGCGCUUGACUGCGAGACCGACGGGUCGAGCAGGUGCGAAAGCAGGGCAUAGUGAUCCGGUGGUUCCGCGUGGAAGGGCCAUCGCUCAAAGGAUAAAAGGUACUCCGGGGAUAACAGGCUGAUCG